This 497-nucleotide ribosomal RNA is filed under the name uncultured bacterium. RNAcentral describes it as "partial 16S ribosomal RNA". It matches the Rfam family "Bacterial small subunit ribosomal RNA", at positions 28 to 507 of the family's 1533-position model. The record is from RNAcentral.
GAUGAACGCUGGCGGCGUGCCUAAUACAUGCAAGUCGAGCGAACAGACGAGGAGCUUGCUCCUCUGACGUUAGCGGCGGACGGGUGAGUAACACGUGGAUAACCUACCUAUCAGACUGGGAUCACUUCGGGAAACCGGAGCUAAUACCGGAUAAUAUAUUGAACCGCAUGGUUCAAUAGUGAAAGUCGGUUUUGCUGUCACUUAUAGAUGGAUCCGCGCCGCAUUAGCUAGUUGGUAAGGUAACGGCUUACCAAGGCAACGAUGCGUAGCCGACCUGAGAGAGGGGUCGGCCACACGAGAACGGGGACGCGGUCCAGACUACUACGGGAGGCAGCAGUAGGGAAUCGUCCGCAGUGGGCGAAAGCUUGACGGAGCAACGCCGCGUGAGUGAUGAAGAUCUUCGGAUCGUGAAACUCUGUUAUGGGGGAAGAACAAAUGUGUAAGGAGCUGUGCACGUCUUGACGGUACCUAAUCAGAAAGCCACGGCUAACUACGUG